RNAcentral lists this ribosomal RNA (460 nucleotides) under uncultured bacterium. RNAcentral describes it as "partial 16S ribosomal RNA". It matches the Rfam family "Bacterial small subunit ribosomal RNA", at positions 338 to 795 of the family's 1533-position model. The record is from RNAcentral.
CCUACGGGAGGCAGCAGUGAGGAAUAUUGGUCAAUGGGCGCGAGCCUGAACCAGCCAAGUCGCGUGAGGGAUGACUGCCCUACGGGUUGUAAACUUCUUUUGUAAAGGAAUAAAGUGAAGCACGUGUGCCUUUUUGUGUGUACUUUAUGAAUAAGGAUCGGCUAACUCCGUGCCAGCAGCCGCGGUAAUACGGAGGAUCCGAGCGUUAUCCGGAUUUAUUGGGUUUAAAGGGAGCGUAGAUGGGUUGUUAAGUAAGUUGUGAAAGUUUGCGGCUCAACCGUAAAAUUGCCAUUGAUACUGGCAGCCUUGAGUACAGUUGGGGUAGGCGGAAUUCGUGGUGUAGCGGUGAAAUGCUUAGAUAUCACGAAGAACUCCGAUCGCGAAGGCAGCUUACUAAACUGCCACUGACAUUGAUGCUCGAAAGCGUGGGUAUCAAACAGGAUUAGAUACCCGGGUAGUC